UACGGAGGGUGCAAGCGUUAUCCGGAUUCACUGGGUUUAAAGGGAGCGUAGGUGGGCUGGUAAGUCAGUGGUGAAAUCUCCGGGCUUAACCCGGAAACUGCCGUUGAUACUAUCAGUCUUGAAUGUUGUGGAGGUAAGCGGAAUAUGUCAUGUAGCGGUGAAAUGCUUAGAUAUGACAUAGAACACCGAUAGCGAAGGCAGCUUGCUACACAAUGAUUGACACUGAGGCUCGAAAGCGUGGGGAUCAAACAGG
RNAcentral lists this ribosomal RNA (253 nucleotides) under uncultured bacterium. Its description in RNAcentral is "partial 16S ribosomal RNA". It matches the Rfam family "Bacterial small subunit ribosomal RNA", at positions 524 to 776 of the family's 1533-position model. The record is from RNAcentral.